Molecule: long non-coding RNA, 930 nt
Organism: Hibiscus syriacus
Lineage: Eukaryota; Viridiplantae; Streptophyta; Magnoliopsida; Malvales; Malvaceae
Exons: 4
Source: RefSeq, a predicted model, not a curated record
AAAAAAAACUGUGAACAACUCACAAAACGAAAGCAAUAUAUCUUCCGCCCUAAUUCUUUCUCUUUAGACUAUAAUCCGUCCACGCGGCAGUUCCGUCGACUGCCCGCUUUGGAAAUCGAUCCUCCGUCAGGUGAAUCGUGUAAAUCUGGGUAUAUUUUUUAUGGGUUCGGGCUGGAUGUUAAAACUAACGAUUACAAGGUCGUGAGAAUGGCGACGUUCAAUAAAACUGACGAUGAAGAUAACGAAAGUUACUAUUUCGAUUACGAGGUUAAGACGAGGCUAUGGUGUGCUGGCCGGUGGGGUUUUACAUUGGGUGAUGCCUCCAAGGAUCGAAUUCGGAAUUCGGAAUACGAUUGUGGGUUUCGAUCUCGGAACAGAAGAGUUAAUCGAAGUGCCUCAACCUAAUUGCGCUGAUAAGAGCUAACUGUUGGAUGUGGGUGUCUUGGAGGGACGCCUAUGUGUUGUUUGUAAUUAUGACCAAGAGAAGAUUGAUGCUUGGGUUAUGAAGGAAUAUGGGGGAUGAUUUCCUUUCAAAAGGAUUCAAAUUGGUCUUAUAAUCAAAAUGAAGAAAAUAUACAGUAUGAGCAAAGUGCGGACGAAGUUAAAUUGCGUCUUAUCUAUGAAGACAACUCUUGAAGCUUUGUAUCUUCUUAUCCUUCUCUCACAGUGGAUCUCCCAAAAGUUGACUUGGGAAGUCAAAUACAAUUGACAUAUGAACUGGGCUUUGGUAUUUGGCAGAAAAAAGCUUGGACAAUUCUCAAACUUUUGAAUGAUGCUAUGUUUAACAAGGUUUUUUUUUUAGUUUAUAGAAUGCUCAACUUGGGUCCAUGUAUUAAUCUUGGUAGCUUUUAUUGUGUGAGACAUUUAGAAAUCUCAACGAUGUCUUGAUUUGCUAUUUUGAUUCCUGCAUCUGGACUUGAUGGGGUUUAU